RNAcentral lists this ribosomal RNA (1359 nucleotides) under Candidatus Phytoplasma sacchari. RNAcentral describes it as "bacterial SSU rRNA". It matches the Rfam family "Bacterial small subunit ribosomal RNA", at positions 151 to 1505 of the family's 1533-position model. The record is from RNAcentral. Lineage: Bacteria; Bacillati; Mycoplasmatota; Mollicutes; Acholeplasmatales; Acholeplasmataceae.
CGGGGAAGUUUGCUAAGACUGGAUAGGAAAUAAAAAGGCAUCUUUUUAUUUUUAAAAGACCUUUUUCGGAAGGUAUGCUUAAAGAGGGGCUUGCGUCACAUUAGUUAGUUGGCAGGGUAAAGGCCUACCAAGACUAUGAUGUGUAGCUGGACUGAGAGGUUGAACAGCCACAUUGGGACUGAGACACGGCCCAAACUCCUACGGGAGGUAGCAGUAGGGAAUUUUCGGCAAUGGAGGAAACUCUGACCGAGCAACGCCGCGUGAACGAUGAAGUAUUUCGGUUUGUAAAGUUCUUUUAUUGACGAAGAAAAAAUAUUGGAAAAACUAUCUUGACGAUAUUCAAUGAAUAAGCCCCGGCAAACUAUGUGCCAGCAGCCGCGGUAAUACAUAGGGGGCGAGCGUUAUCGGGAAUUAUUGGGCGUAAAGGGUGCGUAGGCGGUUUAAUAAGUCUAUAGUUUAAUUUCAGUGCUUAACACUGUCCUGCUAUAGAAACUAUUAGACUAGAGUGAGAUAGAGGCAAGUGGAAUUCCAUGUGUAGCGGUAAAAUGCGUAAAUAUAUGGAGGAACACCAGAGGCGUAGGCGGCUUGCUGGGUCUUUACUGACGCUGAGGCACGAAAGCGUGGGGAGCAAACAGGAUUAGAUACCCUGGUAGUCCACGCCGUAAACGAUGAGUACUAAGUGUCGGGAUUACUCGGUACUGAAGUUAACACAUUAAGUACUCCGCCUGAGUAGUACGUACGCAAGUAUGAAACUUAAAGGAAUUGACGGGACUCCGCACAAGCGGUGGAUCAUGUUGUUUAAUUUGAAGAUACACGAAAAACCUUACCAGGUCUUGACAUACUCUGCAAAGCUAUAGCAAUAUAGUGGAGGUUAUCAGGGAUACAGGUGGUGCAUGGUUGUCGUCAGCUCGUGUCGUGAGAUGUUAGGUUAAGUCCUAAAACGAGCGCAACCCUUGUCAUUAGUUGCCAGCAUGUCAUGAUGGGCACUUUAAUGAGACUGCCAAUGAAAAAUUGGAGGAAGGUGAGGAUCACGUCAAAUCAUCAUGCCCCUUAUGAUCUGGGCUACAAACGUGAUACAAUGGCUGUUACAAAGAGUAGCUGAAACGCAAGUUUAUAGCCAAUCUCAUAAAAGCAGUCUCAGUUUGGAUUGAAGUCUGCAACUUGACUUCAUGAAGUUGGAAUCGCUAGUAAUCGCGAAUCAGCAUGUCGCGGUGAAUACGUUCUCGGGGUUUGUACACACCGCCCGUCAAACCACGAAAGUUGGUAAUACUCAAAAACGGUAGCCUAACUUCUUCGGAAGAGGGAACCGUCUAAGGUAGGAUCGAUGAUUGGGGUUAAGUCGUAACAAGUUCCCCCCCC